UUGAACGCUGGCGGCAUGCCUUACACAUGCAAGUCGAACGGUAGAGGGGCAACCCUUGAGAGUGGCGAACGGGUGAGUAAUAUAUCGGAACGUGCCCAGUCGUGGGGGAUAACGCAGCGAAAGCUGCGCUAAUACCGCAUACGAUCUAUGGAUGAAAGCGGGGGAUCGCAAGACCUCGCGCGAUUGGAGCGGCCGAUAUCAGAUUAGGUAGUUGGUGGGGUAAA
This 224-nucleotide ribosomal RNA is filed under the name uncultured bacterium. Its description in RNAcentral is "partial 16S ribosomal RNA". It matches the Rfam family "Bacterial small subunit ribosomal RNA", at positions 30 to 261 of the family's 1533-position model. The record is from RNAcentral.